UUGAGUCCCUGAAUACAUAGGUUAACAGAGCAAACCGGGGGAACUGAAACAUCUAAGUACCCCGAGGAGAAGAAAUCAACCGAGAUUCCGGUAGUAGCGGCGAGCGAACCUGGAUUAGCCCUUAAGCACUCGGUGAAGUAGGUGAACAAGCUGGAAAGCUUGGCGAUACAGGGUGAUAGCCCCGUAACCGACGCUUCAUCGAGCGUGAAAUCGAGUAGGGCGGGACACGUGAUAUCCUGUCUGAAUAUGGGGGGACCAUCCUCCAAGGCUAAAUACUCCUGACUGACCGAUAGUGAACCAGUACCGUGAGGGAAAGGCGAAAAGAACCCCUGUGAGGGGAGUGAAAUAGAACCUGAAACCGUGUACGUACAAGCAGUAGGAGCACCUUCGUGGUGUGACUGCGUACCUUUUGUAUAAUGGGUCAGCGACUUAUAUUCAGUGGCAAGGUUAACCGUAUAGGGGAGCCGUAGCGAAAGCGAGUCUUAACUGGGCGCUCAGUCUCUGGAUAUAGACCCGAAACCGGGUGAUCUAGCCAUGGGCAGGUUGAAGGUUGAGUAACAUCAACUGGAGGACCGAACCGACUAAUGUUGAAAAAUUAGCGGAUGACUUGUGGCUAGGGGUGAAAGGCCAAUCAAACUCGGAGAUAGCUGGUUCUCCCCGAAAGCUAUUUAGGUAGCGCCUCGGACGAAUACUACUGGGGGUAGAGCACUGUUAAGGCUAGGGGGUCAUCCCGACUUACCAACCCUUUGCAAACUCCGAAUACCAGUAAGUACUAUCCGGGAGACACACGGCGGGUGCUAACGUCCGUCGUGGAGAGGGAAACAACCCAGACCGCCAGCUAAGGUCCCAAAGUAUUGCUAAGUGGGAAACGAUGUGGGAAGGCUCAGACAGCUAGGAUGUUGGCUUAGAAGCAGCCAUCAUUUAAAGAAAGCGUAAUAGCUCACUAGUCGAGUCGGCCUGCGCGGAAGAUGUAACGGGGCUAAGCAAUACACCGAAGCUGCGGCAAUAUCUUUUAGAUAUUGGGUAGGGGAGCGUUCUGUAAGCCGUUGAAGGUGAAUCGUAAGGUUUGCUGGAGGUAUCAGAAGUGCGAAUGCUGACAUGAGUAACGACAAAGGGGGUGAAAAACCUCCUCGCCGGAAGACCAAGGGUUCCUGUCCAACGUUAAUCGGGGCAGGGUGAGUCGACCCCUAAGGUGAGGCCGAAAGGCGUAAUCGAUGGGAAACGGGUUAAUAUUCCCGUACUUCUGACUAUUGCGAUGGGGGGACGGAGAAGGCUAGGUGGGCCAGGCGACGGUUGUCCUGGUUCAAGUGCGUAGGCUUGAGAGUUAGGUAAAUCCGGCUCUCUCUAAGGCUGAGACACGACGUCGAGCUGCUACGGCAGUGAAGUCAUUGAUGCCAUGCUUCCAGGAAAAGCCUCUAAGCUUCAGAUAGUCAGGAAUCGUACCCCAAACCGACACAGGUGGUCGGGUAGAGAAUACCAAGGCGCUUGAGAGAACUCGGGUGAAGGAACUAGGCAAAAUGGUACCGUAACUUCGGGAGAAGGUACGCUCUUGAUGGUGAAGUCCCUCGCGGAUGGAGCUGACGAGAGUCGCAGAUACCAGGUGGCUGCAACUGUUUAUUAAAAACACAGCACUGUGCAAAAUCGCAAGAUGACGUAUACGGUGUGACGCCUGCCCGGUGCCGGAAGGUUAAUUGAUGGGGUUAGCGCAAGCGAAGCUCUUGAUCGAAGCCCCGGUAAACGGCGGCCGUAACUAUAACGGUCCUAAGGUAGCGAAAUUCCUUGUCGGGUAAGUUCCGACCUGCACGAAUGGCGUAAUGAUGGCCACGCUGUCUCCACCCGAGACUCAGUGAAAUUGAAAUCGCUGUGAAGAUGCAGUGUACCCGCGGCUAGACGGAAAGACCCCGUGAACCUUUACUACAGCUUGGCACUGAACAUUGAACCUACAUGUGUAGGAUAGGUGGGAGGCUAUGAAGACGUGACGCCAGUUGCGUUGGAGCCGUCCUUGAAAUACCACCCUUGUAUGUUUGAUGUUCUAACUUAGACCCGUUAUCCGGGUUGAGGACAGUGCCUGGUGGGUAGUUUGACUGGGGCGGUCUCCUCCCAAAGAGUAACGGAGGAGCACGAAGGUGGGCUAAUCACGGUUGGACAUCGUGAGGUUAGUGCAAUGGCAUAAGCCCGCUUAACUGCGAGAAUGACGGUUCGAGCAGGUGCGAAAGCAGGUCAUAGUGAUCCGGUGGUUCUGUAUGGAAGGGCCAUCGCUCAACGGAUAAAAGGUACUCCGGGGAUAACAGGCUGAUACCGCCCAAGAGUUCAUAUCGACGGCGGUGUUUGGCACCUCGAUGUCGGCUCAUCACAUCCUGGGGCUGAAGUCGGUCCCAAGGGUAUGGCUGUUCGCCAUUUAAAGUGGUACGCGAGCUGGGUUUAGAACGUCGUGAGACAGUUCGGUCCCUAUCUGCCGUGGGCGUUGGAAGAUUGAAGGGGGCUGCUCCUAGUACGAGAGGACCGGAGUGGACGAACCUCUGGUGUUCGGGUUGUGUCGCCAGACGCAUUGCCCGGUAGCUAAGUUCGGAAUUGAUAAGCGCUGAAAGCAUCUAAGCGCGAAGCGAGCCCUGAGAUGAGUCUUCCCUGACAGUUUAACUGUCCUAAAGGGUUGUUCGAGACUAGAACGUUGAUAGGCAGGGUGUGUAAGCGUUGUGAGGCGUUGAGCUAACCUGUACUAAUUGCCCGUGAGGCUUAACCA
RNAcentral lists this ribosomal RNA (2740 nucleotides) under Vibrio cholerae. RNAcentral's name for it is "23S ribosomal RNA". It matches the Rfam family "Bacterial large subunit ribosomal RNA". The record is from RNAcentral. Lineage: Bacteria; Pseudomonadati; Pseudomonadota; Gammaproteobacteria; Vibrionales; Vibrionaceae.